AUGGAGUUGGUUGAGCUACGCACAACAUCUUUGGCUGAGGCAAUGUUUGACAAGCUUGGGCUCCCAAAACCAGUCUACUAUGUGCGUUUGCUUGAGCAAGGUGGAUAUAGAUCACAGAUUGAAUUUCACCACACAAAAGAGCGUUAUGAUGCUUCAGCGCCCCGCACUAAAUUGUUCAGCCAUAUAUGUGUAAGCGGGGAGGCAGCAAUGGACCAUGCAGCUGACCUAGCCAUUGGAUACAUGGAAAGCUACGGAAGAAAGGUUCUUGUUGAUUAUAACUACCAUCGGCUGCAGCAAGAAAAAUAA
This 306-nucleotide ribosomal RNA is filed under the name Triticum aestivum (bread wheat). Its description in RNAcentral is "partial small subunit ribosomal RNA". Lineage: Eukaryota; Viridiplantae; Streptophyta; Magnoliopsida; Poales; Poaceae. The record is from RNAcentral.